Molecule: non-coding RNA, 73 nt
Organism: Bos taurus (domestic cattle)
Lineage: Eukaryota; Metazoa; Chordata; Mammalia; Artiodactyla; Bovidae
Source: Rfam
UCCCUGGUGGUCCAAUGGUUAAGACUCCGAGCUCCCAAUGCAGGGGGCCUGGGUUCGAUCCCUGGUCAGGGAA